GACGAACGCUGGCGGCGUGCCUAAUACAUGCAAGUCGAACGCACGGGGGAUGGGGGAGUAACACGUGGGUAACCUCCCAUCAGAGGGGAUAACACUUGGAAACAGGUGCUAAACCGAUACUGAUGGAUGGACCCGUGGUGCAUUAGCUAGUGGGGGGGGUAACGGCUCACCAAGGCGACGAUGCAUAGCGGAGCUGAGAGGGUGAUCGGCCACACUGGGACUGAGACACGGCCCAGACUCCUACGGGAGGCAGCAGUGGGGAAUCUUCGGCAAUGGGCGAAAGCCUGACCGAGCAAUGCCGCGUGAGUGAAGAAGGUUUUCGGGUUGUAAAGCUCUGUUGUUAGGGAAGCGGUACCUAACGAAAAAGCCACGGCUAACUACGUGCCAGCCGCCGCGGUAAUAC
This 403-nucleotide ribosomal RNA is filed under the name uncultured bacterium. Its description in RNAcentral is "partial 16S ribosomal RNA". It matches the Rfam family "Bacterial small subunit ribosomal RNA", at positions 28 to 526 of the family's 1533-position model. The record is from RNAcentral.